Mesocricetus auratus (golden hamster) is the source of this 357-nucleotide long non-coding RNA. RefSeq lists it as uncharacterized. The record is from RefSeq and is a predicted model, not a curated record. The transcript has 4 exons. NCBI's taxonomy places the organism in Eukaryota, Metazoa, Chordata, Mammalia, Rodentia, Cricetidae.
AGCCAAGAUUAAAAACAACAAAACAAAACAAAACCCUCCUCUGUAUGAAGCAGCCUUAUAUAUAACUCUGUCUUCUCCUUUAGAAUUGGAGGUGGGGUGAGGUUGUUUUCCUCUCUAUGCAAAUGAAGCCCUCCCAGAGACCAACUUACAGGUGACAGGAUGAGAGCCCCAAAGGAAAGGAUUCACCAUGUAGACUCUGCCUGUGCUGUGAAAACUCCACCUAGAUGUAUAAGGAAAGAACAGUUCCCUCUUGGAAUCCUGACUGGACCAACUGUUGUUUACUGGCCAAUGUGGAGCAGCUUACUCUCCCUUGCCAAAGACAGGGUAUUACUGUGUGUAGCCCUGGCUAUCCUGGAA